GUAUUACUACCUCCAACCCAUAUUAAUUGAUGCUCAAACGGAUGUAUCUAGCCGUAUUUUAGUGCUAGAUACAUCCAUUUGAUUAUCAAUUAAUAUGGGACGGAGGGAGUACAUA
This is a non-coding RNA of Triticum aestivum (bread wheat), 115 nucleotides long. NCBI's taxonomy places the organism in Eukaryota, Viridiplantae, Streptophyta, Magnoliopsida, Poales, Poaceae. The record is from Rfam.